Small nucleolar RNA from Dioscorea cayenensis subsp. rotundata (Guinea yam), 104 nucleotides. NCBI's taxonomy places the organism in Eukaryota, Viridiplantae, Streptophyta, Magnoliopsida, Dioscoreales, Dioscoreaceae. The record is from RefSeq and is a predicted model, not a curated record.
AAUCCGUGUUGUGGGCACCGCAAGAGAUCCUUGAAGCACUCCCAUGUCACAAAUAAUGAUUCCAAUUCCAUCUGCACAAAGGAUGAUAUCUCAUUACAAAGCUU